Molecule: ribosomal RNA, 97 nt
Filed under: Fasciola hepatica (liver fluke)
Lineage: Eukaryota; Metazoa; Platyhelminthes; Trematoda; Plagiorchiida; Fasciolidae
Also listed under: 2 other names
Description: partial 18S rRNA
Rfam family: 5.8S ribosomal RNA
About the family: 5.8S ribosomal RNA (5.8S rRNA) is a component of the large subunit of the eukaryotic ribosome. It is transcribed by RNA polymerase I as part of the 45S precursor that also contains 18S and 28S rRNA. Functionally, it is thought that 5.8S rRNA may be involved in ribosome translocation.
Source: RNAcentral
UGAAUUAAUGCAAACUGCAUACUGCUUUGAACAUCGACAUCUUGAACGCAUAUUGCGGCCAUGGGUUAGCCUGUGGCCACGCCUGUCCGAGGGUCGG